AAAGUCGUAACAAGGUCUCCGUUGGUGAACCAGCGGAGGGAUCAUUACAGAGUUGCAAAACUCCCAACCCUUUGCGAACGAACUAGACAGUUGCCUCGGCGGGGAGCCCUUCAGGGGGCGGCCCGCCGGAGGACCACUAAACUCUUGAAUUUUUGGCCUCUCUGAGUAACAAAGACAAUAAGUCAAAACUUUCAACAACGGAUCUCUUGGUUCUG
Molecule: unclassified non-coding RNA, 215 nt
Filed under: Ascomycota sp.
Lineage: Eukaryota; Fungi; Ascomycota
Description: partial contains small subunit ribosomal RNA, internal transcribed spacer 1, and 5.8S ribosomal RNA
Rfam family: Eukaryotic small subunit ribosomal RNA (bases 1-47)
Source: RNAcentral